GGCCUCCCCGCGUUCCCCGGGCCCUGAGGCACGGCACGGCACGGCACGGCACGGCACCUGGGGCCGCCGCUCGCCACGGGCCGCCCCGGGGCUGCGGGCACCGCGCCGGCCUCCCCAGUGCCGCAGCGGGCCCGAGCUGGGGGUGCUGCUCUCCGUAAUGGAGGCGCCGGAGCUUUCCGCCCGGACAUUUAAAUAUUGUGCAGAGAGACAACAAAAGAACAUCCAGUAAUAAAACCUGCCCUGGUGCUGACUGUUGUCCAAGCGCAACCUGCUCAAACGCCAUGCCGCUUUGUCAUGGCUGAAACAAAAGUCCACCCUGUUCCUGCUAAAAAAAGACGUUACAAUGAGCUACUUGUGCGGUAUCAACUUAUAGCAGGGGAAAUGAGUAAUAAUUCCUUUUGUCAAAGCUGCAGAGAGAUUAGUUCAGUAAUGCACAAACAUGCAGCUGGAGCCAUGCCAGGGCACAAGGAUUAAAAGCGACCAAACUCUUAACUCUAGUGAAAAAUAUGCAUGGCAAAUUAUUAAAACAAAUGUUUGGUUCUACAAAUACAGGUACAAGGUGAGAACUUGCCCUCUCUGAAAGCACUGCACUCCCCCCAGACUGGAGAAGCAUCUCCCCUUUUUCGCCUCCCUGCUCUUCCUUCCCUGAUCACCUGGAUUCUGGCUGCUUGAAAGAGGUAAAAAAAUAAGACUGGAGAGGAAUUUUGCUCCUGUGCUGCCUCUAAGACAUGGGUUCCCGAACAACUCUCUCCCAGCUUACAAACCUCCCAUGUGUACCACCAUGAGAGACAGGUUUCUCGGCACCUCCUGAGCAGCGAGAAGGGGAGGUUGUGCUACAAUCGGCGACUGAAAAAAGAAGGCUGAAUCUUCUGCAGUGCCUGAAAAAAAACAAAAUCUCUCAACGCAGCCAUUUGUAAGACAGUGUUUCUUUAUUGCCUGUACUCUGCUUGCACACUAAGAAAACAUGCUUAAGGCUGUACAUAAAAAAAACAACACGUGGUAGUUCUUGCUGUUGCAAUAUGACAGCGCUGAUAAAGGCAAUACAUAGACCAGCCCAAA
Molecule: long non-coding RNA, 1059 nt
Organism: Falco peregrinus (peregrine falcon)
Lineage: Eukaryota; Metazoa; Chordata; Aves; Falconiformes; Falconidae
Exons: 2
Source: RefSeq, a predicted model, not a curated record